AACCAGCACCUCAAGUGGUCAGGAUGAUUAUUGGGCCUAAAGCAUCCGUAGCUCGUUUUGUAAGUUUUCGGUUAAAUCCAUACGCUUAACGUAUGGGCUGCCGGGAAUACUGCAUAACUAGGAAGUGGGAGAGGUAGACGGUACUCGGUAGGAAGGGGUAAAAUCCUUUGAUCUAUUGAUGACCACCUGUGGCGAAGGCGGUCUACCAGAACACGUUCGACGGUGAGGGAUGAAAGCUGGGGGAGCAAAC
RNAcentral lists this ribosomal RNA (250 nucleotides) under uncultured bacterium. RNAcentral describes it as "partial 16S ribosomal RNA". It matches the Rfam family "Archaeal small subunit ribosomal RNA", at positions 474 to 724 of the family's 1478-position model. The record is from RNAcentral.